Molecule: ribosomal RNA, 386 nt
Filed under: uncultured bacterium
Lineage: Bacteria
Description: bacterial SSU rRNA
Rfam family: Bacterial small subunit ribosomal RNA
Source: RNAcentral
AUUGAACGCUGGCGGAAUGCUUUACACAUGCAAGUCGAACGGCAGCACGGGGCAACCUGGUGGCGAGUGGCGAACGGGUGAGUAAUACAUCGGAACGUGCCCAAUCGUGGGGAUAACGUAGCGAAAGUUACGCUAAUACCGCAUACGAUCUACGGAUGAAAGCGGGGGAUCGCAAGACCUCGCGCGAAUGGAGCGGCCGAUGUCAGAUUAGGUAGUUGGUGGGGUAAAGGCGUCACCAAGCCGACGAUCUGUAGCUGGUCUGAGAGGACGACCAGCCACACUGGGACUGAGACACGGCCCAAACUCCUACGGGAGGCAGCAGUGGGGAAUUUUGGACAAUGGGCGAAAGCCUGAUCCAGCCAUGCCGCGUGAGUGAAGAAGGCCUC